UGGUGUGAAUUGCAGAAUCCCGUGAACCAUCGAGUUUUUGAACGCAAGUUGCGCCCAAAGCCAUUAGGCCAAGGGCACGUCUGCCUGGGCGU
RNAcentral lists this ribosomal RNA (92 nucleotides) under Aspidosperma sp. US:Clarke12116. RNAcentral's name for it is "partial 5.8S ribosomal RNA". It matches the Rfam family "5.8S ribosomal RNA", at positions 63 to 152 of the family's 154-position model. Rfam says of the family: 5.8S ribosomal RNA (5.8S rRNA) is a component of the large subunit of the eukaryotic ribosome. It is transcribed by RNA polymerase I as part of the 45S precursor that also contains 18S and 28S rRNA. Lineage: Eukaryota; Viridiplantae; Streptophyta; Magnoliopsida; Gentianales; Apocynaceae. The record is from RNAcentral.